UUCUAGAUCGAGAGAAAAGCGUCAGGAGAAAUUACCUGAGGAAGACUCAAUAAAGCCAGAUAAAACGAAUUCUAAACAUGAAAUCGAAGAACAAAUGAAAGAUGGCACAAAUAUAAAGAUAAUUCAGGAUAUAACAAUAAGGCCCACAAGUAAGACAGCUGUUAAAGAAGAAGACGCCUUUAUAGAAAAAAACAAAUUCGAGACUGCGACAAUAGCUAAACCAAUAGGACGAACAAAUAUUAAGCAAGCUCAGAAAAAAAAUAGUUUAUUUCCUCAGCAGAACCCAAAUAUUUUAAGAAAGAACACAAAUAAUGUUACACCUCCCGUUAAAAGGAAAAAUAAUAUUUCCAAAAUGGACGCAAUAAACAACAAAGUUGAACCAACUUCCUUGCAACGUACAAAAACAAAACCAAUUACAAAAAUAAUUGAAAAUAAGUCAAAAGGAGACAUAGCCGGCGUCAUUACAAUAAUGAAAUAUAAUCGAGAAAAUACUGAUUCUGCUGAAGCAUAUGAUUUAUUGAAAAAUAUUGAUAAAACUGGUGGGUCAUGUCACAGAUCAACAGAACAAUUAUUAGCAGUUGAUCCUAUGCUUAUACAGAGAAAUAUACUACUUCCCAUUUCUA
This is a long non-coding RNA of Cydia amplana, 623 nucleotides long. RefSeq lists it as uncharacterized. The transcript has 3 exons. Lineage: Eukaryota; Metazoa; Arthropoda; Insecta; Lepidoptera; Tortricidae. The record is from RefSeq and is a predicted model, not a curated record.